Molecule: long non-coding RNA, 220 nt
Filed under: Physcomitrium patens
Lineage: Eukaryota; Viridiplantae; Streptophyta; Bryopsida; Funariales; Funariaceae
Description: long non-coding RNA (PPAT_LNC004861)
Source: RNAcentral
AUCUCUAUUUCUAAUAUCUGAAUACACAAGGAAACUAUAAUCUCCUCCUUCACCUUAUCGGUAUCUUCUUUACAACAAUUCAGUCAUACCAAUAACUGCUAUUUCCACCAAUAUAUUCACCCUCAUAAUCUCCAAUUGUAAUAUUGCACCCUCACAGCUUUCAGUAUACAAUUACCCUCAUUCCAAUCACUAGAAUUCUUCACACAGAAUUGCCAUUCAC